GUCCGCCCACAAUGCGCGGGCAUUAUCUUCCUGGUUGCGGUUUGCAAAAUAUUUUGACGCACCCAUCACAAACACAAACACCAUAAAAGCCCGUUAAGCUGCCGCCAAUAAAACAUGGCUAUCUCAUUUAAAGCCCAUUCGAUGAGUUGGCAACCAAGUUUGCGCACUUCUUUGGCGGCGGCCAUAUUUCACCAUCGAAGGUGCGUUCGCUCUUGGAACGGGAUGGAUCGCUGGAGUCGCACACGGCACACCAUCUUUAUUUUGAGACCAAGUAUCUUUACAACGCCUGUCAAUUGCGUGUAAUUACCUGAUUGCGCGCCCAUCACUUCGCUAUCAAUUUCACCACCCAGCUGAUGAAAUUUCGGUCGUACGAAAUCGUUGACCUAGGUUGGAAAUGUGACGAGUCUCGAUGGGAGCGACAGCUGGUCAAUUCCAUGAGCAACUUUUGUAGUGUCAGUCCAGGGGAAAGUUGCGCAACUGACUAUGAGAUUAUUCAUCCGCCCCGUUGUCUAGCCAAAAAAUGUAAUUGCUUAAUAGGGUCGAGAAAGUCGUUGGAAACUCCGGUCUGGAAAAAAAUUAGCUGAAUGGAAUCGUCGUGACAACUUUCUGACAACAUUUGGAUUCAUCUAGAGUCUAGAUUCUAGUCCAAAUGGUCAUGUGUGAAAACACAGAUGUGGAAUCUUUCUGCUAGUCGAAAACAAAUAUUUUCCACGCUGAUAAGACCGAAAGGCAUCUCCGGAGCUAACUGAAUAUGUAACCAGGUAAUUAGGAGCAGACCUGGACAACCCUGCUCCACUUCUGCAAGCACCACAAACUAGAUUAAAGCACUUGAUAUGUGGCCGCUAAAAAUAA
Drosophila sechellia is the source of this 852-nucleotide long non-coding RNA. RefSeq lists it as uncharacterized. The transcript has 2 exons. The record is from RefSeq and is a predicted model, not a curated record. NCBI's taxonomy places the organism in Eukaryota, Metazoa, Arthropoda, Insecta, Diptera, Drosophilidae.